GCUCCUUCGGUGGCAUAUACUAAAAUUGCAAUGAUACAGAUUAGCAUGGCCCCUGCACAAGGAUAACAUGCAAAUUUGUGAAGGGUUCCAUAUUUUU
This 97-nucleotide small nuclear RNA is filed under the name Catagonus wagneri (Chacoan peccary). The record is from RNAcentral. Lineage: Eukaryota; Metazoa; Chordata; Mammalia; Artiodactyla; Tayassuidae.